AUAAUAAUAAUAAUAAUAAUAAUAAUAUACAUAAAUGUAGUAUAAUCAAUAUGUCCAAUUAUAAAAAUUCAAGAAGUUAUAAUGAAAAAAAAAAAUUCUUGUUCAUGUCCUAAUAAUAAAACUGCAUGUUAUUUUAAAGAUAUAUAUAAAUCUGAUUAUUGGAAAAAAUCAUUUGCACAAUUAUGUAAAACAAAUCCUAAUGCAAGUGUUAUUACAGCUGAUUUUAUUUUAAUAAAUUGUAAUAUGACUAUAAGUGUUAAAAAACAAGAAACUUCUUUAAUAACAUAUUUUGCUAUGACUUAUAAUUGCCAAUCAAAUAUUUUUCAAUAUUUAUUUUGUUCAAAUACUGUAGAUAUAUCAGGUGAAACAUUUUUAUACAUACUUUUUACUUUUAUAUUUGGAUUUAUUUUAGCAUUAUUUGUUAUUUAUAAAAUUGUACAUCAAGGUAAAAUAUAUAAAGCCUUGUUUUUAGGAGUAAAGCCAACCAUAAAUAAAAUAAAUUCUAUGGCUUCGUAUGAAGAAAAUAUUAACCAUAUAGACUCUUUUAUAAAAACUUACGAUACCAUGGGUAAUGAAAUAUAUGAGAAAAACGAAAAUGGUAAUGGUGGAUUUUUUAACCGUAUGGUACGUUCAUAUAGAAAUGUUCAUAAUAAACUGGCUAAUAUAAAAGAUGAUGAUAUGUUAGUACAUUCUAAAAAGGAGAUAGUUGGUGAGAAGAAAAAAAAAUAUGGAUUAAAAGGAUUUAUCAAUAAUAUGUUUAAACGUGGUGAUAAGUCAAUACGAACAAUAGAACCUGAGGGGAGAAAUGAAAAUAACAAUACAUAUAAUGAAGAGAGGGUAAAUGGAGAGGGAGUAAAUGAAGAGAGGGUAAANNNNNNNNNNGAGAGGGAGUAAAUGAAGAGAGGGAGUAAAUGAAGAGAGGGAGUAAAUGAAGAGAGGGAGUAAAUGGAAAGGGAGUAAAUGAAGAGAGGGAGUAAAUGAAGACAAAAGUGAAACAAGUUAUGGCAUAUAAGCACAAAUACAAAUGACACUGUAAUUAACAUCAUAGUUCA
Molecule: long non-coding RNA, 1052 nt
Filed under: Piliocolobus tephrosceles (Ugandan red Colobus)
Lineage: Eukaryota; Metazoa; Chordata; Mammalia; Primates; Cercopithecidae
Description: lncRNA (ENSPTEG00000017939.1)
Source: RNAcentral